UACGGAGGGUGCGAGCGUUGUCCGGAAUCACUGGGCGUAAGGGGCGCGUAGGCGGCCUGAUAAGUAGGGGGUGAAAUCCUGCGGCUUAACCGCAGGGCUGCCUUCUAAACUGUCAGGCUUGAGCACAGUAGAGGCAGGUGGAAUUCCCGGUGUAGCGGUGGAAUGCGUAGAGAUCGGGAAGAACAUCAGUGGCGAAGGCGGCCUGCUGGGCUGUUGCUGACGCUGAGGCGCGACAGCGUGGGGAGCAAACAGG
This 253-nucleotide ribosomal RNA is filed under the name uncultured bacterium. RNAcentral describes it as "partial 16S ribosomal RNA". It matches the Rfam family "Bacterial small subunit ribosomal RNA", at positions 524 to 776 of the family's 1533-position model. The record is from RNAcentral.